Long non-coding RNA from Solanum lycopersicum (tomato), 1319 nucleotides. RefSeq lists it as uncharacterized. The record is from RefSeq and is a predicted model, not a curated record. NCBI's taxonomy places the organism in Eukaryota, Viridiplantae, Streptophyta, Magnoliopsida, Solanales, Solanaceae.
GAACUAACAGAAGUAUGGUAGGUUAUUUUAUUUUCCAUUUGACUUUAACUUUUCCAAAACAACAAAAUUGAGGCAUGGAGGCGGCUGCCGGAGGAGGACAUCAGCUGAGUGAUCUGCCGGAGCGAAUUCUACUUCACAUCCUCUCUAAGUUGUGGGAACCAUCAUACUCUCUACAGGAUUCUUUUUUACUUUCCCCAAUAGUCAAAAUCAAAAAUGACAUUCUUGCUUUCCUAGCCUAAAUAUGUUGCCAUGGACUGAUCUCUUGACUCCAAGGUUCCACCAGAUCAAUUAACUGAUCUGCUAUCCUUGAUUGAGGUAUUAUCUGGUUCCACUAUCUUGGAACACUUGGAAGUAAAAAAGAGUUUGGGGCAUACAACGUCUGGAAGUAGAUCUGUGAAGAUGACAGUAUUGACGAUAGAAGAGUACUACGAUAAGAAUCAUGAUAUUUUCCUUGAAAUAUAGCCCUGCAGGUUGAACAUUUUGGAAAUCUGGGGAUUGUGUAGUCAGAUACGCAUCAUGUAGAGAAAUGUUUCUUCCCUUAAUUAUGCUAUCCUUCAUUUUCAUUUUGAUUUUAAGGUUGAGGAAAGCAACUUAGAGAAAGAGUUUAGCUGUUUGAAGAAACUUCUUCAUGGUGUUGCCCAGGUCGACUGUCUUGAACUGAGUAGCUGGUGCAUCAAGUGCAUGUCCAUUCCGAAGUUGAAAGCGUGGCAGUCUCCAACAACAAGCUGGAAUUUGUUGGACCUUCAAAUAAAAUAACGCCAGUUAGACUUUCCUGGAAUUUACAGCUUGCUACAAAGCUCAUUGGAUAUUGAGACAUUGUUCAUUGAUUUGCAUGGGGAUUCAUCAAGAGGCUAGUUGUUAAUGUACACAAACAAGGGUAAACAAAUCCACAGGUUUGAGACACAUAACUUUAACGGCUCAUUUACACACCUGAAGACUGUCGAGAUCAUUAGCCGUAGGGGACUACUAAGUGAAAAUAAGUUUCUACUGCCACUGAUGAUGCUCAAAUGACACAGGAGUUACUAAGCCUUCCAAGAUCAUCUCCACACAUUUCAAUUGUCAUUUCUCAUCCAUAACUUUUGGACCCUAUGUUUUGGGACAAUUGCAACAUCUCAAACUAAAUUUGUAAAGAAAUCUAGCAGUGGAACCUUUGAAGGAAAAGUUUUUUUGUAAACUGAGAAGUCUAUUGUAAUAUAUCUAUGGUUGUUGAAACAUUUAUGUUACUAUAUUUGUAUGAACAUAUCGAGAAGUUCUAUCGAUGGAUAAGCACUUCUGUAAACUGAUGCAAACCAAAUAAUAAUAAUGCACUCCCUUUGAAA